AACGCUGGCGGCACGCCUAACACAUGCAAGUCGAACGGAGAUUGAGAGCUUGCUCUGAAUCUAGUGGCGGACGGGUGAGUAACACGUGAGCAACCUGCCUCUGAGAGAGGGAUAGCUUCUGGAAACGGAUGGUAAUACCUCAUAACAUAGCUGGACCGCAUGAUCCGGUUAUCAAAGAUUUAUCACUCAGAGAUGGGCUCGCGUCUGAUUAGCUAGUUGGUGAGGUAACGGCCCACCAAGGCGACGAUCAGUAGCCGGACUGAGAGGUUGAACGGCCACAUUGGGACUGAGACACGGCCCAGACUCCUACGGGAGGCAGCAGUGAGGGAUAUUGCACAAUGGAGGAAACUCUGAAUGCAGCGAUGCCGCGUGGAGGAAGAAGGUUUUCGGAUUGUAAACUCCUGUUUCGAGGGACGAUAAUGACGGUACCUCGGGAGGAAGCUCCGGCUAACUACGUGCCAGCCGCAGC
Molecule: ribosomal RNA, 469 nt
Filed under: uncultured bacterium
Lineage: Bacteria
Description: bacterial SSU rRNA
Rfam family: Bacterial small subunit ribosomal RNA
Source: RNAcentral